RNAcentral lists this ribosomal RNA (710 nucleotides) under uncultured Halobacteriales archaeon. RNAcentral describes it as "bacterial SSU rRNA". It matches the Rfam family "Archaeal small subunit ribosomal RNA", at positions 4 to 688 of the family's 1478-position model. The record is from RNAcentral. Lineage: Archaea; Methanobacteriati; Methanobacteriota; Halobacteria; Halobacteriales.
CUGGUUGAUCCUGCCGGAGGCUAUUGCUAUCGGGAUCCGAUUCAGGCAUGCUAGUCGUACGAGUUCAUACUCGUGGCGUAUAGCUCAGUGACACGUGGUCAAACUACCCUCUGGACUGGGAUACCCUCGGGAAACUGAGGUCAAUCCCGGAUACUGCUUCCGUGUUGGAACACAGGAAGCUGGAAACGGUCCGCCGCCGGAGGACGUGACUGCGGCUGAUUANGUAGACGGGUGGGGUAACGGCCCAGCGUGCCGAUAAGUCAGUACGGGNUUGUGAGAGCAAGAGCCCGGAGACGGAAUCUGAGACAAGAUUCCGGGCCCUACGGGGCGCAGCAGCCGCGAAACCUUUACACUGCACGCCAGUGGCGAUAAGGGGGAUCCCNGAGUGGGAGGGCAUACAGUCCUCGCUUUUCGCGAGCCGUAAGGGGGGUCGCAGAAAUAAGGGGCUGGGGCAAGAGCGGUGGCAAGCCGCCGCGGUAAUACCGGCAGCCCGAGUGAUAGCCCAAUUUUAUUGGGGCUAAAGCGGUCGUAGCUGGCNCAACAGGGUCCGUCGGGAAAUCACCCGGCUAAAGGGGGNGGCCCGUCCGCGGGACCCAGGUCCGGCUUUGGGGCGAGANGAGCCAAGGGGGGGACGUCCCCGGGGGGAAGGGAGUGAAAUCUGUAAUCCCUGGACGGGACCACCGGGUGGGGAAAGCGCUUUUUGGGAGAGG